ACGGAUCCGGCGCCUUUCGUGGAAGAUUUCGCCCGCUUCUUAGGACCGACUGACCCGUGCUCGACCGCCGUUGGCACGGAACGCUUCUCCACUUCGGUCUUCGAAGGUCUCGUUCGAAUAUUUGCUACUACCACCGAGAUCUGCACCCGCGCUUCUUAGGACCAAC
Molecule: long non-coding RNA, 166 nt
Organism: Octopus sinensis (East Asian common octopus)
Lineage: Eukaryota; Metazoa; Mollusca; Cephalopoda; Octopoda; Octopodidae
Exons: 3
Source: RefSeq, a predicted model, not a curated record